RNAcentral lists this ribosomal RNA (429 nucleotides) under Bacteroidota bacterium. Its description in RNAcentral is "Bacteroidetes bacterium partial 16S ribosomal RNA". It matches the Rfam family "Bacterial small subunit ribosomal RNA", at positions 355 to 776 of the family's 1533-position model. Lineage: Bacteria; Pseudomonadati; Bacteroidota. The record is from RNAcentral.
UAGGGAAUCUUCCGCAAUGGACGCAAGUCUGACGGAGCAACGCCGCGUGAGUGAAGAAGGAUUUCGGUUCGUAAAACUCUGUUGUUAGAGAAGAACAGCGCAUAGAGUAACUGUUAUGCGUGUGACGGUAUCUAACCAAAAAGCCACGGCUAACUACGUGCCAGCAGCCGCGGUAAUACGUAGGUGGCAAGCGUUGUCCGGAUUUAUUGGGCGUAAAGCGAGCGCAGGCGGUCAAUUAAGUCUGAUGUGAAAGCCACCGGCUCAACCGGGGAGGGUCAUUGGAAACUGGUUGACUUGAGUGCAGAAGAGGAGAGUGGAAUUCCAUGUGUAGCGGUGAAAUGCGUAGAUAUAUGGAGGAACACCAGUGGCGAAGGCGACUCUCUGGUCUGUAACUGACGCUGAGGCUCGAAAGCGUGGGUAGCAAACAGG